GCCGGCAAAGUUUUCAUGGCACACGGUGGCUUGUUCCGGAGCUUGGAACCGGGGCCUUCUACGCGAUCUUUCUUGGUGAGAGCUGCUGCCAAGCUCAAGCUGGGUGAUCUGGAGGACCUUGCAAAGUCGAGAAGAGGCGUGCUGGAUCCGUCGGCCGUGGGAAACAACGUGAUACCGGGUGAUAUCUUGUGGUCCGAUCCAUCUCCAAACCCGGGGCUUGCGAGCAACGAAGGUCGAGGGAUCGGGCUUGUUUUUGGACCGGAUUGUACUCAGGAGUUUAUGGACAAGCACAAGCUAAAGGUAAGGUGGUGUUUUGUGUCGUUUGCUCACGAUCAUUGGCAUUGUUCGGCAGUGCAGCUUAUAGUGAGAUCUCACGAGGGGCCGGAUGCGAGACAGAAGCGUCCUGAGAUGGCAAGCAUGGACAAAGGCUACACGAUCGACCACGUUGUCAGGCUGGAAAGCUCAUCACUCUGUUCAGUGCUCCCGACUAUCCCCAGUUUCAGGUUGGCCUUCUUCAUUUCGUGUUUUCUUUCUUCGUAAAUGCAACGAAGUUUCGAUUGUCAACGAUGGCAGGCGACCGAAACUCGCUUUAACAACAAAGCAGCCUACAUUGUUUUGGAACCACCGGAUUUUUGCGAGCCCGACAUUUGUGUUUUUGAGGCGGUCUUCCCGCGGCCACAUGUAAGCAAUUUCGUUUUGAUACUUCCAUCCACCGCUUUGGUUGCUAUUCCGCAGGUUAUGCCGUAUUACGAUCAUGUUAAUGUUAUGGAUUCAGACGACGAGCUGGAUCUGCCAAAAGACGGAUAAAAAAAAACUAGAAAAAUGCCACGACUGCCACCUUUGAGGUCUUCGUGGGCGUUGGACUUUUAUGCUCGUAGGAGUCAAGAAAAUCAUUCGUGACAAUAUAUUUCCGAGCUAGAGCUGCAAGAGAGCUAGGAGAAAAUGGCGAGUGAUUUUGUUUUGGUUGUUGCGGCAGCACUAUCGAUCGCUGCUGUGCUAUGGAAGCUAUGGAAGAGUAGAAUUAAAUCGUCUCUUCUUCCCCCAGGUCCCAUUGGGCUUCCACUGAUCGGCCAUCUCCACUUGCUCUUUGCAAAUCCUCCACACACCGUGCUCCAGAGGCUGUCGGCUCGCCAUGGACCGAUCAUGUCACUGCGAUUCGGGCAUGUGCCAGUGGUUGUCGUCUCCAGCCCAGCAGCCGCCAAGGAGUUCCUCAAGACCCACGACGCCGCCUUUGCGUCUCGCCCGCCGAGCGCCGCCGGGAGGAUCAUCGUCCACUACAACGCCGACAUCGUUUUCGCCCCCUAUGGCGACUCGUGGAGGCACUUGCGCAAGAUCGCGACACUGGAACUCCUCACAGCUCGCCGGAUUGACAUGUUUCGGGGCGCGAGAAUGGAAGAAGUAAGAUCCAUGUGCCGAUCGCUACUAGUAGCGGACGAUCGCGAGACGGGGAUCGUGGAUGUUCGUGGGCGACUGACGGCGCUCACCUUCAAUCUCAUCACUUUUAUGCUCAUGGGCAAGUGCUACUUUGGCAAGGACACGGAGAACGAGGAGGGGGCAAAAAAGUUUUUGGAGGUAAUUGCAAGCAUAUUUGAGGUAUGUGGAGACUUUCCACUUGGGGAUUACUUCCCAUGGCUUCCCAAGUUCUUGGAUCCAACAGAACGUCGUAUGCAUUCCUUAGCUAAAUCCUUUCAUGAAUUCCUUAGUGAUAAUAUCACUGAACACGAGAACAAGAAAAACAACAGUGAAAAGAAUAACAUUGACAAAGAUUUCUUGGACAUCCUCCUCUCUCUGAGAGACAAUGGUAACGAGCAUCUACAAAACAAAAACAUCAUAAGUAUCAUGACGGUAAGAAAAAGAAUUCGAUCAAUCAGUCUCAUCACUUGAGAUCUUUUUCUUGGCAGAACUUGGUCACAGCUGGAACCGACACCUCAGCAGUGACACUCGAGUGGGCGAUGGCUGAGUCGAUCAAAAACCCCACCAUCGCUGCCAAAGCCCGAGAAGAAAUCGAGCUAGUUCUCGGUGAGAAGUGGAGGACGAAGAUGGUGGAAGAGCCUGAUCUUUCACAGCUAACUUAUCUCCAAGCCAUCGUCAAGGAGACACUCCGGCUGCAUCCUGCGGGACCGCUGCUGGUCCCCCACCAAUCCACCGAGGCGGUUAGCAAUGUAAUGGGGUACCAUGUACCGCGCGGCACGACGGUGCUCAUCAACGCCUACACCAUCGCCAGAGACUCUACCGCCUGGGGCGACGACGCGCUGCUCUUCCGGCCCGAGAGAUUCCUUGGCACGGAUCUGGACAUCCGGGGCAGGGACUUCGAGGCGGUGCCGUUUGGAUCGGGGCGGCGGCAAUGCCCGGGAAUGGCACUGGCGCUCACCACUGUCCAUCUCACGCUCGCCAACCUCCUCCAUGGAUUCGAGUGGAGAGAGCCCAGCGGUGAGAGCAUCGACACGAGCAAGGAGCAGUAUGGAUUGACGCUGCUCUUGGCAAAGAAGCUCCGACUAAUCGCCACCCCACGGCUAGAACAAGGUACCUUAAAGCUCCGAUCCAAAGAAAGCUUGGAAGAAUAGCUUCCUUGAUAAACCAUGAAUAAGAAAGAAACCACGAACUUUCAGCACUAUCUCUCCAAAUGAACACUGCUGGCCUCAUCAGGAGCCUCUUUGCGAAUGAGAUUUUUGCAUGGCAUGGACAUUUUUAUAACAAAUAUAAAGAUAAUUUGUAAGUAUUAAAUAUUCUGAAGAAAUUGUUGAAGACUUGGAAAAGAAUAGACUAAGAGUAGAUUGUUGGAUCUAAUUUGAUUUCCAAGUGUGAUUGAAGCUCUUGUUAAUGUUCAGCUUAUCAGCAGCUUGACAACAUCUACGUUAUUGCUUGCAACGUGCAUAGCUAGCAGGGGGUUGGCAAAAUCUGCAUCCUUGUUCUUCCUUGCAGCCCGCAUAGAUUGGAGCAAGGGAUUGGACAGGUUUCACUCCGAUGACAAGAAGUCCAAAAGCUUAUUUUCAUCUUCGCUUAGAAGCGUUGUGGUGCUCUCCAACAACAGCUUCCAGCAGUGUCCACAUUCCUGAGCUCCACCCUGUGAAGCAGUAACGCACAAGCCCCAAUAAAUUUGAUCCGUGCACCACAUUCUUGCACCAAGCUUCCCCCGACCAUAUGCUUGAGAAACAUCUCCAAGAAGCAGACAAGGCAGUCUAGCGGUACCUGGCCCCGUGCACACGCAUCGUGCAGCUCCUUGAAUAUGCUAUCAGCAUCACUAGCCAAUUCAAAGGCAAUGUUCUUGAAGCCCCGCAGCGAGACAGUCAUAAACCAGGUGCCAAACUCUAAAACUGAUCUCCACUUGCUCUCAGAUACCAAGUUUCUCCAAUGCUGGCACAUCCUCAUCUCUGCUUGUGUUGUGGCUUGCAACUGGCCGUAGUCUGAAAUGCUGGUGUAGAGAUAACUGAGCUUCUUUUUACAUUCAGGUGUGCAUUGCCAUGCCUCCAACGCCGUCGUAAACUCUAUCAUCUCAGCUUGGGGGAAGAAAGCCUUGGGAGGGCGUAGCUCUGGGAGAGGCUUCAAUUCCAUAUCUUGCCUGUUCAGCCGCCGCUCCAGCACGCUUCCCUUCUGCAAUCUAUUUCCUACCAACUUUCUAGGAUAUCCCCUCCCAAUACGCCAACACAUCCAGCGACUGUUGGAUUUGGAUGGAAUCCCCCUUGUUCUUCUUCAGUUCCUCCAAAGCUUUCUCGGCCAUCAUCAGAUCUGUGGAGCAUGUUCUAUUUUCAUAGCUUCGAUCGUUAAAAGGUACUUUGUUCCAAACAUUCGUUCCUCGUCGGGGAGGCCGGCCAGAUCAAAGAGAUGGAGCAAAUCAUGGAGCUGGCCGUGCAAAUCGCCCACCAGGACGAUGCUACUGGAGCUCGACCGUGGCGGCUCCAGGCGCAAGCAAUUGGGCUCCUUGUGCAUGAUCUUGGAAGCCCUGGCGAUGAGCGAAUCGGCGACCGCGACUGGCACUACCUGGCGCAGUGCUUGCGUCCUCAGCAUGGAGGCCGCCUCCGCCAGGGUCUCGCCCACGCCGAUUACCCAUUCUCGCGUCAAUCCUCCAUCCUCUGGCCAUUCCACUACCUUGCUCACCACCUCCUCCUCUGCCGCCAUCGCCACUCCUUGCGCCUGAUCCGAGCUGGAUUCCGGGACUGGCGCCUUUGUUGCCCCUCUUCUUCGACGGUGCUCAUCAACGCCUAUGCCAUCGCCAGAGACUCUUCCGCCUGGGGUGACGAUGCGCUGCUCUUCCGGCCCGAGAGAUUCCUUGGCACGGAUCUGGACAUCCGGGGCAGGGACUUCGAGGCAGUGCCGUUUGGAUCGGCGACAAUGCCCGGGAAUGGCACUGGCACUCACCACUGUCCAUCUCACGCUCGCCAACCUCCUCCAUGGAUUCGAGUGGAGAGAGCCCAGCGGUGAGAGUAUCGACACGAGCAACGAGCAAUAUGGAUUGACGUUGCUCAUGGCAAACAAGCUGCGAUUGAUCUCCACCCCUCGCCUUGUGUUUAACGGGGACUAUGUGGAUCGAGGAGUGUGGGGAUUCGAGACUUACUUUCUCCUCCUUGCUUGGAAGGUAUGAUCUCAGAAUCACGUUUUCUUUUUUACUUCUUUCUGGUGGUAGUGAAAGGUGCUACCUCACCGAGUUUUUCUUCUGCGAGGAAACCACGAGACAAAGUUCUGUACGAGCGUCUACGGCUUCGAGAAAGAGGUCUCCGUCAAGUUUGGGGAGCAUUCCAAGCAUUUCUACCGCAAGCUCUUGGGAUGUUUCGAGGGCCAUCCUCUGGCGGCGGUGAUAGCCGGCAAAGUUUUCAUGGCACACGGUGGCUUGUUCCGGAGCUUGGAACCGGGGCCUUCUACGCGAUCUUUCUUGGUGAGAGCUGCUGCUAAGCUCAAGCUGGGUGAUCUGGACGACCUUGCAAAGUCGAGAAGAGGCGUGCUGGAUCCGUCGGCCGUGGGAAACAACGUGAUACCGGGUGAUAUCUUGUGGUCCGAUCCAUCUCCAAACCCGGGGCUUGCGAGCAACGAAGGUCGAGG
Molecule: long non-coding RNA, 5034 nt
Filed under: Selaginella moellendorffii
Lineage: Eukaryota; Viridiplantae; Streptophyta; Lycopodiopsida; Selaginellales; Selaginellaceae
Description: long non-coding RNA (SMOE_LNC002171)
Source: RNAcentral